RNAcentral lists this long non-coding RNA (7181 nucleotides) under Sus scrofa (pig). Its description in RNAcentral is "lncRNA (ENSSSCG00055017022.1)". Lineage: Eukaryota; Metazoa; Chordata; Mammalia; Artiodactyla; Suidae. The record is from RNAcentral.
UUUUUUUUUUUUAACUUUUUAGAGCCACACCUGAGGCAUAUGGAAGUUCCCAGGCUAGGGGUUGAAUUGGAGCUACAGCUGCCAGCCUACACCACAGCCACAGCAACACAAGAUCCAAGCUGUGUCUGUAACCUAUAUACCACAGCUCACAGCAACGCCAGAUCCUUAACCCACUGAGCAAGGCCAGGGAUAGAACCCUCAUCCUCAUGGAUGCUAGUCAGGCUCAUUUCCGCUGAGCCACAACGGGGGGAUUCCUUUUUUUUUCUUUUUAUGGCAGCACCUGCAGCACAUGGAAGUUCCCGAGCUAGGGGUCAGAUCAGAGCUGCAGCUGCUGGUUUAUGCCACAGCCACCGCACCAGGAUCUGAGCUGCAUCUGCAACCUAUGCCACAGCUCACAGCAGUGCCGGAUCCUUAACCCACUGAUCAAACCCAAAUCCUCACAGAGACAACAUCAGGUCCUUAACCAGCUGAGCUACAACAGGAACUAUGAAAUAAAAAGAUUUGUAAAGCAAUAAUGAUUACCAUAAAAUUAAAACUAAGAGUUACCUUUUGGAAACCUCCUACACUGUUGGUGGGAAGGUAUAUUGGUAUAACCACUAUGGAAAAAUGUAUCACGUUUCCUCAGAAAACUGAAUAAAGAACUACCAUGAGAUCUAGCAAUCCCACUCCUGGGCAUAUAUCCAGCCAAAACUAUAAUUCAAAAAGGUACAUGCACCCCUGUGUUCAUGGCAGCACUACUCACAACAGUCAAGACAUGGAAACCACCUAAACUCCAUCCACAGAUGAAUGGAUUAAGAAUAUGUAGUACACAUAUACAGUGGAAUACAACGCUGCCAUAAAAAAGAAUGAAAUAAUGAAGCAACAUGGAUGCAACUGGAGAGUCUCACACUCAGUGAAGUCAGUCAGAAAUACAAAUACCAUAUGAUAUCACUUAUGGAUGGAAUCUAAAAUUUGGCACAAAUGAACCUAUCUACGGAAUAGAAAUAGACUCACACACGGAGAACACACUUGUGGUUGCCAAGGGGAAGGGGAGAGGGAGUGGGAUGGACGGGGAAUUUGGGGUUGGUAGAUGCAAACUUGUACCUUUAGAAUAGAUAGGCAAUGAGGUCCUGCUGUACAGCACAGGGAACUAUUAUAUCCAGUGACCUGGGAUAGACCAUGACGGAAGAUAACAUAAGAAAGGGAAGGUAUAUGUAUAUAUGAUUGGGUCACUUUGCUGCACAGCAGAAAUUGGCAUAACACUGUAAAUCAACUAUACACCAAUAAAAAAUUAAAAAUUGUAAAAAUUUUAAAAAGAGUUACCUUUUAGAGAAGUUGCCUGGAGAAGAGUUCAGUUCCUUGCAGGCAUGUUUACUUUAAACUGGAAAGGGAGUUCCCGUCGUGGUGCAACCAUACGACCGCACAUUAUCCUGCUCCCAGGACAAUUCCUCGUUAAUAUCCUGCACAUCAGCGCAUGCUCAGAGGAGGGCCACUCUUAAUCCCACGCUUGAUCCUCCCCAGCCCCAAGAUGGGUACUCAGGUUGUCCAAAGUGUCUCGUCACUGCGCACCAGGCUGUCACCUGCCUCCUUGCACACGGCCCUGUACACCCAGUGAGGCUUUCCAGAGACUCGGUCUCCCCAGGGUCAGAAAGCCGUUCUCAAGUAUUCAUCCAUAUGGGACUUUUCUGCUCUGUUACUUUCUUGUUUGUUUAAUAUGCUUUAUUGGGGUGAAAUAUAUAUGUGUGUGUAUAUAUAUAUAUGUAAAACAUUUGCCAUUUUGACCAUUUUUAGUGUACUAUUCAGUGGCACUGCUACAUGCACAAUGCUAUGCAACCAUCACCACUUUGCAUCUCCAACAUUUUUUUUUUCUUGCUUUUUAGGGCCAUACUUGCAGCAUAUGGAGGUUCCCAGGCUAGGGGUCGAAUCGGAGUAACAGCUGCCGGCCUACACCACAGCCACAGCAAUGCAGGAUCCAAGUCACCUCUGCAACCUACACCACAGCUCACAGCAACACCAGAUCUUAACCCACUGAGCGAGGCCAGGGGUUGAACUCGCAACCUCAGCGUUCCUAGUUGGAUUCAUUUCUGCUGUGCCACAACGGGAACUCUUCCAUCUCCAAAAUUUUAUCCCCCCAAAGUAAACUCUGUACCCAUGAGCUAAAGCGAAUCCCCUCCCUUCCCUGUAGCCCUGGUAACCUUGAGUCCAGUCCACCUUCUGUCUCUAGGAACUUGCCUGUUGUAGAUAUUUCGUAAGAGUGGAACACAAAGGGUAAACAUGUGUGAACCCUGCUGCGUUAUAUCCCCACCUCUGGACGCUCUCCCCAUCGACUGGGCAGAGCAGCAGAAAACACCGGGGGACAUUCUGGCUUUAGGUCUAGUAGGGAAGAGGGGAAAGAGAGCCUAGCGCAGGAGCUUUUCUUCCCACACCCAGGGAAUUAACACAAGAAAAGCAAUCUGAACUAGAAGGCGGAGAGGAUCAGGGAGCGGAGGUGGAAGUUAGAAGCAGAUGACGCCCUCCAGGAAGAGGCACAUGUGUUAUCGCUGCUCAGGGUCCUUGCAAAGUCUGAGACGGGUGGAAGAGAAGAAUGGUGGAACCUCCCGUGAGAUCGGGGAUCUGAAAACAAAGGCAGGCAACCUGUGCCCCAUUUGCUGUCUGCAAUUCUCAGUCCUGCCAGCAGAGACGGCAGAGGGAGAUAAAUAUCAUCCUGUGUGUCAGCCUAAGGGUACGACGUUUCGCGGCUCUGGUGUAGCACGGAAGAACCAUCCAGGAUCUCUGUGCCUCUGAGAACAGAGAUGUCAGCUGGGACACAGGAAGGGGUCCCAGUGCCACAGACAAACCCAGCACUGUCCCGCAGACACCAUGAGGGGGCAAGGGGGUGGGGUGACGACCCAGUAGAAAUUUACUACAGAAGCACCCACCACUCCCAAAUACAGUGCCUCCCAAGAAAGAAGGGGGUGAGAAAAGAAAUUUUAUUUUAUUUUAAUUUAGGGCCACACCUGCAGCAUACGGAAGUUCCUGGGUUAGAGGUCAAAUCAGAGCUGCAGCUGCCGGUCUAUGCCAGAGCCACAGCCACAGCCACAUAGGAUCUGAGCCAUGUCUGCGACCUACACCACAGCUCACGGCAACGCCGUAUCCUUUAACCCACUGAGCAAAGCCAGGGAUCGAAGCUGAUUUUUCAUGGGUUCUAGUCAGGCUCCUAACCUCUGAGUCACAAUGGGAACUCCUGAGAAAAGAAAUUAUAAUUGGCUGAGGGCCCCCUGGAGUGGUGAGUUUAUCUUGAAUUAACUGGAAAUAAUUUUCUGCCAAAUUGGUUAAUUUCCUGCCUAAUUGGAAGGGAGGAUCCGGUAUUAAGACAAAAACCAAAUUCAAUCACAGAAUAACAGAAACUUGCAUUUUUUUUGCCCAGCUGAGUUUUGAGGACUAAGAAGCCCAAAGCCACCACUCAUAUUCUAUAUCUCAGUGGCAUUUCUGAAUUUUUCUCCCCAAGCACUGUGACCAUCUGUGCUCCCCUCGUGAACACAGAAGUGUGACAUUUCCCAGGGCCAUGCCAACCUCCACUGCCAAUCAGUCAGUUACACAUACCAGUCCAUGACACGGUAGAUUCUGUCCACACCAGCUCCUGGUGCAGAAACGGAAAGAGAAAAAUCUAACCAAUGUUAAUGGAUUUGGAACAGCACGUUUCUGACUGGGAAAAUAUCACGGCUCAAGGAGAGGUGUUGUUCCUUUGAGCAUCGGGAACAUUGUGACCAAGGCAACAUCCACAUGGAGAUGAUUUUACCAGAAGGUGGAUGGGAGGGGUCAUUGGGGGAUGGUCUACAAGGCUCACCAAGGACCGAACCCGGGAGACGCGCCACAUGCACAGCAGCCGGGCUCUCAGCAGCCUCCUCUCCCGCAGACCCUUUUCUCUCCUAAGGACCAUCACCGUCUAUCAGGACACCUCCCUGGGCACCCACCCUAGGUCCUCGGCCAUCAGUCUAAAUGUUUACCUCUCUUUGCACCAAUGCGCAGAUUCUCAGGGCUAGAGGAAGGCUCACAGUUAGGCAAGUUCAACAAUGUAACAAUGCUUAAAAUCCCCUGUGGCUGUAUCAGCGAUGGAGGCGUCUUUCCUUCCCAAAGUCAAGGUCUUUUCCUGGUGAUUCCCCCAACCCAGGCCACCUGGCUUGGAAUCCCAGCUGCGUGACCUCAGGCAAGUCACUUCCACCUCCCAAUACCAUCACCUUUAGGGUUUAGGAUUCCAGCAUGAAUUUGGGGGGGACACAAACAUUCAGACCAUAGCAGGUCACAUUCACAAAUUCCAGGCAGAUAUAUUGUUUGAGGCUCCAUCAUUCAAUCAAAAUACACCCCCUAAGCUCUUAUUCUGCCAAUAGAAUAGCCUUUGUCUUCCUGCCAUUCUUCAAGCGGCAAAGUGUUAAGCGCAUUCUAAUCCUAUUGGUACUGGGAUGGUCCACCUAAUUGUCCUGAAUUCCAGUAGAUUUAUUCUCUUCACUUUUUCUCUCCCCGCCUCCUUCCUUUCCCCUUUUUCUCUUCUACAUCUUAGCCUUCUAGAUACAGUUCUCCAGUCUCCACGUCUCUCUCCCGUCCCCCAUAAUAAUCAGGAUGUUCGUUACAAAUGUUGCAUCUUUGGGGCUACAGGCAGAGGAAGUGGUGAUGUUAGUGAAAAAAUGCAGAAGAAAGAGUUUAACCCACAAGCACAGAGGCCCCUCCCCCAAAUGCACAGUGUGUGUGCUGUAGUUGGUGCACAUACAUGCGCACAUACAGGGCACGUGUGCACACACACAUGCUGUAACAAGCCUGCGUGUGCACAUAUGCCAUGUGGCCAGGAUACAUGCUUGGCACGUGAGUGCGCACACACACACAUGCAAGAUGCAUAUGUGCGUGUGUGCUGUAACAUUUGCACACACGUGUGGACAUUAUACAUGCUAUAGCAUUGCACAUGCAUGCACAAACAGGCCAGGGCACAUUUGCACACAUGCGUGCUACAGCACAUGCAUGUCUGCGCACACAUGUACCAUGUGUAAAUGGUAUGUGCCAUACCAGCACACACACACACACACACGCACACACACACGCUAUGUGGACUCUGGCGUUCCAUGGUCCAGACCCAGUCAAGCCAGAAGAUGUGGGCCAAACAGCAGCCACGCCAGGCCUCUCUCAAGCCAGUCCUCCCUCCCAGUGGCCUCAGGAAACAAAGACAGUUUAACAAGAACUCCCCAGCUAAGCGGUUUUUUUAAGACCUUCAGCCAGCAGCCGCCUGGCUGAGCUGAACGUCUCACUUUAUUAGUGAGUUUGGCCUUGGGUGUCUGGCUGUUUGAUCAAUCCUGCCAGGGGUCAGUGAUAUUUCCUCCCGGCCCCCGCCCCCACCCCGCGUCCCUGCGCACCUGAUGAACAGCGGUGCCCCUGGACCGCUGAUCACCUAUUGAUUUUCCAGCUGGAGGCGGCAUCCGCCGCCAGCUGCCAUCUCCAGCCCUGUCACUGGGACCGUUUGGUGACUAACGCAUCCCCGGGGCCCCUCCCAACCCCCCCUCACUUCCGACCCAGCUCCCUUCCCCAAUGGCCCAUACUGCCCAGGCUCGCUUUGUCUGUGUCCGGGCCCUGCCCUGUCUCUCGGGGCUCAGUGCUGGGACCACGGACACCAAAGUCAAGGUCUUUUCCCUGUGAUUCCCCCCAACCCGGGCCCCCUGGCUUGGAAUCCCAGCUGCAUGACCUCGGGCAAGUUUCCUCAUUUGUAGAGCUGGGGCUGGUCAGGACCUACCCAUCAUGUGUAUAAGCCCGCAGUUUACAAAGUAUGUCCUGUGAAUCUCUGGGGGGAGGGGUCCCCAAGACCCUUCCAGAAUGUCCACAAUAGUUAAAAUUAUGUUCAUAAUGAUACGAAGAUGUUACUUAUUUUUUCUCUCUCAAUUAAAGAAUUUUUUUUUACUCUCAGUGAAGUGUUCCAGAGACUGCAUGACACGUGAUGGUUCCAAACCUUGAAGGCAGACGCAGCUAUAAAAACUCAGCUGUUUUCUAUUAAACCUGACACUAUAGAGAUUUGCAAAAAUGUAAAACAAGGCCACGCUUCCUUCUCCCUAAAUUGUGUUGGUAAAUAUGGUUACUUUUCAUAAAAUAUUUAUGUUAGCAUGUAAUGUGUUGAUUAUGGCAAUUUUAAAUAAACUAUGAACAAAUAUUAUUACACUUCCUCAAUUGCAACUCCUUGAAUGGUAAAUAGUGACAGAUACAGCCCAUGUUAACAAGAACUCUGAGAUCCUCGAAAGUUUGUUUGUUUUUUGUCUUUUUGUCUUUUUAAGACCACAUCCGUCACAUAUGGAGGUUCCCAGGCUAGGGACUGAAUCGGAGCUGCAGCUGCCAGCCUAUGCCACAGACACAGCAAAGCAGGAUCUGAGCCACAUCUGCAACCUACACCUCAGCUCACGCCAAUGCCGGAUCCUUAACCCACUGAGCGAGGCCAAGGAUCAAACCUGCGUCCGCAUGGAUACUAGUCGGGUUUGUUACCACUGAGCCACAAUGGGAACUCUCAGUUCUUAAGGCCAAAAACUUUGAGAACUGCUGAAACAAGAUGCCAGCACAGGAGUUCCAUGGUGGCUCAAAGGGUUAAGGAUCUGGCAUUGUCACUGCUGUGACCCAGGUCACUGCUGUAGUGUGGGUUUGAUCCCUGGCCGGGGAUCUUCCACAUGCCGCGGGUGCUGCCAAGAAAAAGAUGCCAGCACAGUGCCUGGUCACUACAUGACUAUGGUGAAGAUUAUGAGUAGUUAUCACGGGCAGUAAUUAUCAAUGCAUCACCUCUCCACUGGAACUGGGGAGUCUCAGGGGAGUGGGGUGGGGAGGGGGAGCUCGCUGGAGACGCUGAUUAGCGAUUUAGUGCCUGCAGCCCAGUGAUAAAGGUGGGCUCUCUUCUGGCUCCAAGAGUCCCCCAUCCUCCCCUGGCACUCAGUUUGGGGAGCCCCACUGCCAAGGGAAGAAAAUGGCUGGCUGACCCAUGACCAGGCUCCUGGCACUGGCCACACCUCAUGCAGCAGCAGUGCUCAGCGCCACCAAGAAGGUGGCAGUUGCUGCCAACAGGGCCGAGUGUAGUAAUAAUAACAGCUCCUCCUUGCUCAGCAUCCCCAUGUGUCAGCCCCUGUCAUAAGCAUUUUAGGAAAGUUAAGUCAUCUGACUCCUGCCACAAUCUUAUGUGAUUGUUUUAAAAUGUGCCUGGGAUUUUGAUG